AAAAAAAGUAAAAAACACAUAGAGCAGCUAAUUCCCCAAAAGGCAAAAACAUUAUAGAACUGAGAAGAGCAAGGAGCAUCGACUGAAAGCUAGGGUUUUUGCAAAUCGAUUCUUCAUCAGGUUCUAAACCCGUGCGACCACUUGGACCUAUGGAUCAGUUCGCACGCGCAAUAGAUCCGGAUGCAUCAUUGAGGAAGACAAGACAACAAAAUAUUAAAGAUGCACUUAGCCAAAUUAUAGACUCGAGGGCCAAGGACCGACUUGAUAGUCCUUUACACUUAGCCGGCUACUUGUUAAAUCCUUAUUACUACUAUCGAGAUGACGAGGCACAGAAAGAUCCGGCAUGUAUGACAGCUAUUUUAACAUGUAUUGAAGCAUUCUUUUCGGAUAAUUUUCAUGUCCAGCACCUGGUUUCUAUUAUUGAGUUGCUGAAAUAUAUAUAAAGGAAUGGAGGGAAUGUUUGGAAAAAAUUAGCCAAAAUGGUUAGAAUGACCAAUGAUGAUACUUUUGAUCUUGUUGGAUGGUGGUCAAAUUACGGUGCUGAUGAAACUCCAAGUUUGCAAAUGAUACAACUUCAAGUUCUUCGGGAUGUGAAAGAAAUUGGAGUACAUUUGAGGGAGUUAGUUGGUUAAAUGAUUUAAUGGAACUAAUUUAUUAUAUUAGUAUCUUAUAAUUAUAACUUACAAGGAUUAAUUUAUUUCUCUCUUAUAUUAUUUUUACAGAUUCAUACCAAAAAGAGGAAUAGAUUAGAUGCUGCAAGAAUGAGCCAUCUAGUAUAUGUGCAAUUUAAUUCAAAACUUUUCGACAAGAAAAAGAAAAUGAAAGAAAAAUGUGAUGUAUUAAUAGCUAAUGAUGCUAGCAUGGCUCAAGGAUGGAUAGUUGAAGGGGGUGAUGAUGAAGAAGAGCUUUCCCAGGAUUCUAACAUCACAAAUGAGGAGAUUGGUGAAGUAACUAGAAGGAAUGUUCGAGAACUUGAUGAAGAUGAUUUCGAAUCAGAAGAUGAAGCUAAUGACGAUGAAAAUCUCACAUUUGAUUUUUAGGAUAUGAUCAACAUGGAUGGUGAAAGAUUGUUGUGUCUCCUGAUUGUAAUUAUAUAUGAAAAAAAAAAUAAUUUGUUGAUAUAGGUUAUGUAGUUGAGCGGUUUGUUCUAGAAGGAUGUUCCAUAUCAAAAGGGAUUCACAAGAAGGGGGGGGGGAGGUGUUUUGGUGGGAAAGCACUUUUUAGAAUGAAAAGCAAAUGUGAAAGAUAUUUGAAUUGAAGACAGAGAUGGGUGGUGUUAGUAUCCUGUUAAAUCGGCCAUCAGGUGAUUUAAGUAAUAGGUAAGUGGGAGUGGUUAAACAUUGUAAUUUAUGGGUCUAAAAUGGGCAUCAAAUGUAAGAAACUCGUUUUUGCCUUCAGCA
This is a long non-coding RNA of Daucus carota subsp. sativus, 1400 nucleotides long. RefSeq lists it as uncharacterized. Lineage: Eukaryota; Viridiplantae; Streptophyta; Magnoliopsida; Apiales; Apiaceae. The transcript is spliced from 3 exons. The record is from RefSeq and is a predicted model, not a curated record.